UGACCGUAGUUAAAUUAAUGAAAAAAAGAAUCUUACGGGCCGGUUAUUGUGGGUCUUUAUCUCUUCAAUCAACAUAUCUGCUUACCAAACUUCUCAUAAAU
Small nucleolar RNA from Papaver somniferum (opium poppy), 101 nucleotides. RefSeq annotates it as small nucleolar RNA snoR109. Lineage: Eukaryota; Viridiplantae; Streptophyta; Magnoliopsida; Ranunculales; Papaveraceae. The transcript has a single exon. The record is from RefSeq and is a predicted model, not a curated record.